CUCACAAAUUCUUUUAAUCAUGCUGAGAUGCACGAACAUCCUCACCUUGAUUCACUUCCUCUGACUUCUAAUACAUUUUUCUCUCAUUUAUAGAUCUUCUCUAAGAUUGGAGUAGUACUAUGGUUUCAUCUAAUUGAUCAAUUGAAGUUUGGAGAGCUAGUAAUAGAUGGCCAACUUUCAUUUACCAAUGGGGAUUAUUAUUAAUACCUUCAACUACAUAUUCCCAAUGGAAAAAAAUGAGUUUCACCUUUGAGACUUUUGGCAAAUGUCCUGAGCUUUAAAGUUCUCCACACAAGUACUGAAGUAUGACAACAUUCCUAUGAAAAGGCUUGACAUGACGGGCACGGGGGGUUAUUCUGUAUGUUAG
This is a long non-coding RNA of Canis lupus familiaris (dog), 367 nucleotides long. RefSeq lists it as uncharacterized. The record is from RefSeq and is a predicted model, not a curated record. The transcript is spliced from 3 exons. Lineage: Eukaryota; Metazoa; Chordata; Mammalia; Carnivora; Canidae.